AUUGAACGCUGGCGGCAGGCCUAACACAUGCAAGUCGAACGAGUGGCGGACGGGAGAGUAAUGGCUGGGAAACUGCCAGAUGGAGGGGGAUAACUACUGGAAACGGUAGCUAAUACCGCAUACCCUAGGAUGUGCCCAGAUGGGAUUAGCUAGUAGGUGGGGUAACGGCUACCCUAGGCGACGAUCCCUAGCUGGUCUGAGAGGCUGACCAGCCACACGGGAACUGAGACACGGUCCAGACUCCUACGGGAGGCAGCAGGGGGGAAUAUUGCACAAUGGGCGCAAGCCUGAUGCAGCCAUGCCGCGUGUAUGAAGAAGGCCUUCGGGUUGUAAAGUACUUUCAGCGAGGAGGCGGUACUCGCAGAAGAAGCACCGGCUAACUCCGUGCCAGCAGCCGCGGUAAUUC
This 406-nucleotide ribosomal RNA is filed under the name uncultured bacterium. RNAcentral describes it as "partial 16S ribosomal RNA". It matches the Rfam family "Bacterial small subunit ribosomal RNA", at positions 29 to 526 of the family's 1533-position model. The record is from RNAcentral.